UGAGAGGCAGGAGGUGCUUGGGCUGAGCUUGGGGCUGGGUGCCAGUGCCAGGCACCCUGGGUCUGGGCAGCACCCUCUUCCUGGCUUUCUGAUCUGGUGACGACCCCAGUGCUGUUAUCUUUUUUUUUUUUUUUUUUUUGAGAUAGCGUCUCACUCUAUAGCCCAGGCUGGAGUGCAAUGGCAAGAUCUCAGCUCAUUGCAACCUCCACCUCCCAGCUCAACCGAUCCUCCCUACCUCAGUCUCCUGAGUAGCUGGGACUACAGUUGUGUGUGAUUGUGCCCAGCUAAUUUUCGUAUUUUUUUGUAGAGACAGAGUUUUGCCAUAUUGCCCAGGCUGGUUUCGAACUCCUGGACUCAAGUGAUCCACCCGCCUCUGCCUCCCAAAGUGCUGGGAUUACAUACAGGUGUGAGCCACUGCACCCAGCCAGGCAGCUUUUUAUUAGACUUUCACUAGGUCCUUGUAGGUGGAACCUUAGUGGUCACAGUGGGCCAGGAGGGUUUGGCUAGUUUUGGCCUUUGUAGCCAUCUUUGAAUUACACUAUUAGUAGAUCAGUCUGGUCUCUAAAAGGAAAAAGACCACAGUCAUUAUUGGAGUUUGACUAUUCCGUUUAAAAUGUAGCUUUUAAGUGAGGUACAUCAUAAAGGAUCUACUGGCUGGGCACGGUGGCUCACGCCUGUAAGCCCAGCACUUUGGGAGGCCGAGACGGGCAGAUCACUUGAGGCCAGGAGUUUGAGACCAGCCUGGGCAACAUGGUGAAACCCCAUCUCUACUAAAAAUACAAAAAUUAGCUGGGCAUGGUGGUACGUGCCUGUAAUCCCAGCUACUCAGGAGGCUGAGGCAGGACAAUCACUUGAACCCGGGAGGCGGAGGUUUCAGUGAGCCAAGAUCACUCCAUUGCAUUCCAGCCUGAGUGACAGAGCAAGACUCUGUUUAAAAAAGACAACGAAAACCGAAAAACAAAGAACAGGUGGAGUCUACUGACUUGCAUGAGUCAGGUAAUUCAUUGACCGGGGCUGGUCAAAAAGAUGGGUUGAUCCUUACUGUGGAAGCUCUCAGCUGCCCUGCAAUACUUUGGAAAUAAACCAGGCAAAACACUGCUCAGUGUGCUGCACUCCAGACACAAACAGGAAGCUGCUCUUUCUCUGCUUCCCUCCCCCACAAUCAGACUCUUGUAACUCUCUUUUCUUCUUUUUCUAAAAUGAAUCUGGGAGUUUCCUUUAGCCCCUGUUUUGUGGUCGCCUCCCAUACACGUUUUAUCUGUCCGUGGCAUUUUCUUUUAUUUAUUGAAAGCACCGUGUCUUAGAUCAAGUCUUGAGAAACAGAACCUGAGACAAACAUGAAUGUGGUUAAUUGAACGAGCGCUGUGCAGGAAAAGCUGUACUGGAGAGAGGUAAGCGGACAGAUACGGGGAAGAGCUGGGCCCAGCAAAGAUGAGGUCUCAAGUAAAGCUUAUGUUUGGCUUAAUCCACCGGGGACGGUUCUGGAACAUAAGCCACACCGCAGAGCUGUGAUGUCACACCUUGAGGCGAGGGCCUUGCCUCCUGGUAUCAGUCAGUCCUGGCUGUGGGGAGCAAGGUGGCUCCACUCAGUGCAAGGCCAUCCUGGGCAAGGGGCAGCCCCCCUCACCGCAGUGGCCUGGCAGUGGGGCCCUGGGUCCGGCACAGCUCCUCCUUCGCACAGUGCUGUCUGCUCGCCCGGUGUCUUUCAUGCCGUUUCCCACCAACUUCCCUCCUCUGCCUCCUGCUCUGCAUUGCACAGUGCAGCGAGGUUGCCAAUUCCAUAGUUGUAGCGGCUGUGGGGGAAGGGGCAGGCGGGACAGGGGAGGCAGCCAUCUAACUUUUGUCCUGACUCACGCAGGCCUGGCCUGGUGUUCAGAACACAAAUGUGAAAAAUCAGACCGGGAAGAUCACGGGAGGCAGGAAGCAUCUGGUUUGCAGGUAGGGAAGUGACAGACCCCGCGGAUGCCAUGCACAAGGGUACACAGUGGAGUGGGGAUGAAAUCAGGGCGGAAGUGCAGGGCUCCUGAGCCCGGGGCUGGGGCUGUUUCCCCAACUGUCCGCUGCCUCUGCUGCCUCCUGAGAUCGUCUCCUUCUGCUGUCUGCCCGCUGGAACUUAUUUUUAGUUUUAAUUUUUUCGAGACAGGGUUUUAAUCUGUCACCUGGGCUGGAGUGUAGUGUCGUGAUCAGGGCUGACUGCAGCUUCAACCUCUCGGGCUCAAGUGAUCCUCCCACCUUAGUUUCCCAAACAACCAGGACUACAGAUGCAUGCCACCAAGCCUGCCUAAUUUAUUUUUUUAUUUUUCAAUUUUUAGUAGAAAUUUAAAAAUCCCCCAGUGUGGCUGAUUGGCUGACAGCCACACUGAAGCUUUAUUCCUGCCUCUCCUCACUCAGCAAUCCUCAUUCCUCAAAUACCUCUUCUCCCUGUUGUCCAAAUGUCCCCUGUACUUCAAGACCCAUAGGUCACAUCCUCCAAGAAAUCUUCCCAGUCCACACUUAUCCUUCUUUUAAAUCAGGGGUGCACACCCUGGUUACAUGUUACAAUCACCUAGGAAGCUUUAAAAAAUAAGAUUAGGGGUUAGGGAGAGGGGACCAGACCAGCUGAAUCAGACUCUCUGAAAAUAGGACCUGGGCAUUUGUAGUUUUUAAAGCUCCCAUGUCAUUCUAACAUAGCCAGGAUUGAGAAGUACCGUUCUAAGCAAAUAUUACAAAUAUGUCUUGCUUCCACACCCAUGGCUAUGUUUUGUUUGUUUGUUUGUUUUUGAGAAGGAGUCUCACUCUGUCACCCAGGCUGGAGUGCAGUGGCGUGAUCUCAGCUGACUGCAAUCUCCACCCAAGUUCAAGAGAUUCUUCUGCCUCAGCCUCCCACGUAGCUGGGACUACAGAGCAUACCAUAGCAGCUUGUGCCUGAGACCUCGACAAAUAUCUGGGGGAUAGAUUGGCUUGCAGAGCACAUUCUGCCUAUAGAAAUGAGUUAGCAAGUUUAGUCAGCCAUUGUAGAUUUCAAAGGGUGAGAAGCCUAGCCAGAGGUUAUAAUAUAGCAUGAUAUCCUCCUGGAAAUGGAAUUCUUCACUUGCGAUGCAUUUUAGGAGCCGCUGCUCUGUGUGAGCCACUCUGCUAGGUCCCAGCAUGCAUGAUAUUAUUCUACACAAAGAAUAAUAUCAGAGCUCACAGCCUAUGCAGGAAGUAAGCAAUUAGUUACAGCGUGAUGUGUACUGCAACCCAGGUAAGUACACAGUGUCAUGGAUGCUUCCAGGAGGAAGUCAUAGUCUGACCAGGAAGUUUGGGAAUACUUCUCAUAGGAAGCAACAAGCUACCUGGAAAGAUCUAGAAAGAUGAACAGUACCAGUGUAUUGAUUAGAAAUGCGUUCAGCAGCAAGUCAUAGAACACAUGACUAGUAAGGUUUAAACAAAUAGAAGGUUAUUUUCUCAUAUAAUAAGCCCAGAGGUAGGCACUAAAGGUGGUACAUUGGCUCAGUGGUGUUGGGACUAAGGUUUCUAAAAUUCUCUUGUCCUCUAAGACAUGGCUGCAGGUUGGCUGCAGCAGCUCCAGGCAUCGUGUCCACACUGAAAGGAGAAAGGGGGAGGCCAGCUAUGAUUUCCCCUUUUAUCAGGAAAGCAGAAACCUUCCUGUGGAUUUCUGCUUAUAUCCCACUAGCCAGAACUGGGUCAUGUGGCUAUCCUUAGCAGCAAGGGAGCCAGGAAAGAGAGGAUUUCACUUCUCCAGCUUCUUCUGUAUAUGGGAGGGCAGGUAGGUGAAGGGGGCUAGACUGAAUCCUGUGUGAGCCAACUAGCAGGCAGAACAUUUUGCAUAGAACUGCAUUUGCAAAAACAUGGAGCUGUGAAAGUGUGUGGAACAUUUACAGGCUAUUUAUUUAUUUAUUUAUUUAGAGACAGAUUCUUGCUUUGUCGCCCAGGCUAGAGUGCAGUGACACGAUCUUGGCUCACUGCAACCUCUGCUUCCUGGGUUCAAGCAAUUCUCCUGCCUCAGCAUCCCCAGUAGCUGGGAUUACAGGUGCCUGCCACCAUGCCUGGCUAAUUUUUGUAUUUUUAGUAGAGACGGGGUUUCACCAUGUUGGCCAGGCUGAUCUUGAACUCCUGACCUCAAGUGAUCCACCCGCCUCAGCCUCCCAAAGUGCUGGGAUUACAGGCGUGAGCCACCGCCCCCAGCCUACAAUCAAAAAAUUUAAUAUCAUCAAAUUACAGGGCAUGUGGCAGAGAAGUGUGGGCAGACAAGACACAGAGAAGUGGAGAUGAGACUCUUCAGACCCUUGAAUGACAUGUUGAAGAGCUUGGAAUUUUCUUAUAGAACGUAGGUAAUCAAUAGAGAGGUUUCAUCCGAGGAAUGAUAAAAAUCCAUUUGGGAAACAGAGGCGGUGUGGAGGAUGGGUCAAGAGAGAAUCAGAAGGCAGAUGAUUUACAGCAAUCCAGGCCAGAUAUCAGGAGGGCCUACUCUAAGAUUGCUUUUAGCAUAGCUACUGGGGAAGAGUCGGGCAGGAGAGCCCAGAGGCCCCGCAUGUGAUGGAAACAGCUGCCCAAACUGCAUCUUCAGGUAAAUAUGGCAGACCAUAGUUCCCCCUUCAUAAAGGCCUCUUGGGCGUGUUUCCUGGAAGGAAGAGGUGGGAGAUGUCGCCAUGCUCAGCACAUACGUGAGGUGUUGCAUUAGUCUCCUGGGGCUGCCGUAACAAAGUACCACAAAGCAGAUGGAAACAACAUGCAUUUUUCCCCCCACAGUUCUGGAAGGUGGAAGGCCAGGAUCAGGUGUCAGGAGGGUUGGUUUUUUCUGGGGGUUCUGAGAGAAUCUGAGGGGAAUUCCAUGGCUUUCUCCCAGCUUCUGGUAGUUGCUGGCAAUCCCUGGUGUUCCUGGGCCUGUAGACACGUCACCCCCAUCUCCGCCUCUGUUUUCAUGUGGCAUCCUCCCCGGUGCGUGUCUGUGUGCCCCAACCCCCUUGUCUUAUGAGGCCCACUCUAAUCCAACAGGACCUCGUCUUUACAUAAUCAGAUCUGCUAAGAUCCUGUUUCCAAAUAAGGCCAUGUUCACAGAUACCUAGGGUUAGGACUUGGACAUAUCUUUUGGGGGGACCCGAUUCAACUCACAACAGGUGUUUGAGGGCAGCUCUAGUUGAGAGUGUCAGAGAACCUCUGGCUUAAAGGAGGAACAGGGAGUCUAUCUGCUUGCAAUGUCUGAAGUAGAGUGGAGUGGCUUUACUGUCCUUGGUAGAGAGCAUGUCCUGCUUCAUUCUCAGGAAGGAUCUCACUGUGAGGUGGCUACGAUUACUCUCUGCCCACCCUGGUUGCAUCUGGCUUACAGAAGACAAUCCCAGAAGAAACAGUCUCCCCCAAAGUCCGCAGCAACCCUUCCACUAGGAGUCUACUCCUGCUUACACAAGGCCCAUGCUCACGCCUCACCCCACUGCUGUGUCCAGGGCUUCGUGGUAUCCUGAUGGGCUAGCGUGGGUCACACUCCCACCCUUUGAGCCAUGGGCCCACCUAGUCCAAAUCAUAACAACUGAACAGGAUGAUCACAGGUUGUGGAGAUGAAUCUGCCAAAGUGAUGCUAGGCAGUGCGCUUUCUUUUUUAUUUUUAAAAUAUUUUUUGCAUGUAUGUAUGUAUGUGAGACAGUCUCGCUCUGUCGUCCAGGCUGGAGUGCAGUGGCAAGAUCUCGGCUCACUGCAACCUCUGCCUCCUGGGUUCAAGCAGUUCUCCUGCCUCAGUCCCCCGAGCUGUGAUUACAGGCAUGUGCCACCACACCCGGGUAAUUUUUGUAUUUUUGUUAGAGAUGAGAAUUCACCAUGUUGGCCAUGCUGGUCUCCUGACUUCAAGUGAUCCGCCUGCCUCAGCCUCCCAAAGUGCUGGGAUUACAGGCGUGAGCCACCAUGUGCAGCCAGUAGUGCUCUUUCUUUACCUCUGCCCAAAUGAGGACAAGGAGAUGAAGCGUGGCUGAAAGCAUCAGCCUCUUCCCAGCUGUCCUGAUUGCAUGGGCCGCUUGUCCACUGGACAGGUACUUUUCCUGCCGGGCCUGCUCGUGUGGUUUGGACAGAUGCCCAACUGUCAGGCUCACUCUGUUCUGUUCAGGGAGCUGGCAUUUGCUCCAGUUUCCUCACCUGCCCACAGGGCAGGUGUGUGUCUGUGCGCCCCAACCCCCUUGUCUUAUGAGGCCCACUCUAAUCCAAAAGGACCUCAUCUUUACAUAAUCAGAUCUGCUACGAUACUAUUUCCAAAUAAGGCCAUGUUCACAGAUAUAUGAAUGGUAAGAGCCAGUGGGCCAGGUUGCCCAUGUGAGGGAGCCGGUCUCCGCACCUUGAAUUUCUCUACUGUUCUGGCCUCCGGGGCCAUGACAUUGAGGAUGGCUGGCCACUGGGCAUUGCUCCUUGCACCAUUUUCUCUGGGACUCCCUGAUACAUGUGAGGUUCUUCUUUCUCAGGCCUCUUUGAGGUGCAGGGACCCCCCCGCCCCCAUUGCCUAGUACUCCAAACUGGCCUAGGUCUACCUCUCCCAGCCCAAAUGUCCUGAGGUCCGUGACUGGAUUAUGACUUCAUAAACACCCUUCCCCCACCCUCACCACCACCACUUCCAGCAUCUGAGCUGGAAGACUGCCCGUGUCCUUCCAAUCCACUUCCCUUCCCUGUUGUUCAUCCUCACAUUUCUCUAACCACAGGCCAGCAGAGCUAGAAAAAACCCUAGGACAACUAGUCCAGCAACGGCGAAACAUUCAUUUUAACCUUAGUUCACAUGGUGCAGCCGCUACAGAAAACGGUAUGCGAGUUCCUCAAAAAAUGAAACAUAUGAUCCAGCAGUUUCACUUCUGGGUUUCUGGGUAUAUUCCCAAAAAAACUGAAAGCAGAAACUUAAAUAGCUGUUUGUACACCCACGCUUAUAGCAGCAUUAGUCACAAUAGCCAAAAGGUAGAAGAAGCCCAAGUGUAUAUCAACAGAUGCAUGGAGAAACAAAUGUGUAUACAUACAAUGGGUUAUUAUUCAGCUAUAAAAAAGGAAUGAGGCCAGGAUCAGUGGCUCACACCUGUUAUCCCAGCAUUUUGGGAGGCCAAGGUGGGCGGAUAACCUGAGGUCAGGAGUUCAAUACCGGCCUGGCCAACUUGGUGAAACCCCCGUCUCUACAAAAAUGCAAAAAUUAGCCGGGCAUGAUGGCAGGUACCUGUAAUUCCAGCUACUUGGGAGGCUGAGGCAGAAGAAUUGCUUGAACCACGGAGGCGGAGGUUGCAGUGAGCUGAGAUCGCACCAUUGCACUCCAGCCUGGUUGACAGAGCGAGACUCUGUCUCAAAAAAAAAAAAAAAAGGAAUGAAAUUCAGAUACAUGCUACAACAUGGAUCAACCUUGAAGACAUCAUACUAAGUAAAAUAAGCCAGUCACAAAAGGAUAAGCAGUAUAUGAUUCCACUUAUAUGAGGUACCUAAAGUAGUCUAAUUCAAAGACAGAAAGUAUAAUAGUGAUUACCACGGGUUGGAGGGAAGGAGAAGGGGAGUUAUUGUUUAAUCAUAUAGAGUUUGGGAAGAUGAAAAAGUCCUGGAGAUGGACAGUGGUGAUGGUUGUACAAUAAUGUGGAUGUACUUAAUGCCACUGAACGGCACACUUAAAAUGGUUAACAUGGUAAAUUUUAUGUUAUGCAUAUUUUACAACAAUAAAC
This 7643-nucleotide long non-coding RNA is filed under the name Homo sapiens (human). Its description in RNAcentral is "HSALNT0134461". The record is from RNAcentral. Lineage: Eukaryota; Metazoa; Chordata; Mammalia; Primates; Hominidae.